GAUGAACGCUGGCGGCGUGCUUAACACAUGCAAGUCGAACGGAAAGGCCCUAGCUUGCUGGGGUGCUCGAGUGGCAAACGGGUGAGUAACACGUGGGUGAUCUGCCCUGCACUUCCGGAUAAGCCUGGGAAACUGGGUCUAAUACCGGAUAGGACCACUUCUUGGAGGUUGUGGUGGAAAGUUUUUCGGUGUGGGAUGAGCUCCCGGCCUAUCAGCUUGUUGGUGGGGUAAUGGCCUACCAAGGCGUCCACGGGUAGCCGGCCUGAGAGGGUGUACGGCCACAUUGGGACUGAAAUACGGCCCAGACUCCUACAGGAGGCAGCAGAGGGGAAUAUUGCACAAUGGGCGCAAGCCUGAUGCAGCAACACCCCGUGGGGGAUGACCGCCUUCGGGUUGUAAACUCCUUUCGCCAAGGACGAAGCUUUAAGUGACUGAACUUGGAGAAGAAGCACCUGCUAACUACGUUCCCAGCAUUCGCGGUAAUAUCAAGGGUGCGAGCGUUCUCCGGAAUUACUGGACUUAAUAGAGUUAGUACGGGGUUUGACAACCCGUAAGAGGCACCCCGCUACUCAAGCUGCAGGAUUGCAGGCGAUACGGGCAUAACUUGAGUGCUGUAGGGGAGACUGGAAUUCCUGGCUGUAGCGGUGGAAUGCGCAGAUAUCAGGAGGAACACCGAUGGCGAAGGCAGGUCUCUGGGCAGUAACUGACGUUGAGGAGCGAAAGCAUGGGGAGCGAACAGGAUUAGAUACCCUGGUAGUCCAUGCCGUAAACGGUGGGCGCUAGGUGUGAGUCCCUUCCACGGGGUUCGUGCCGUAGCUAACGCAUUAAGCGCCCCGCCUGGGGAGUACGGCCGCAAGGCUAAAACUCAAAGGAAUUGACGGGGGCCCGCACAAGCGGCGGAGCAUGUGGAUUAAUUCGAUGCAACGCGAAGAACCUUACCUGGGCUUGACAUACACUGGAUCGCUGCAGAGAUGUAGUUUCCCUUUGUGGCUGGUGUACAGGUGGUGCAUGGUUGUCGUCAGCUCGUGUCGUGAGAUGUUGGGUUAAGUCCCGCAACGAGCGCAACCCUUGUCUUGUGUUGCCAGCAUUUGGUUGGGGACUCAUGAGAGACUGCCGGGGUUAACUCGGAGGAAGGUGGGGAUGACGUCAAAUCAUCAUGCCCCUUAUGUCCAGGGCUUCACACAUGCUACAAUGGUCGGUACAACGCGCGGCGAGCCUGUGAGGGUGAGCGAAUCGCUGAAAGCCGGUCGUAGUUCGGAUUGGGGUUUGCAACUCGACCCCAUGAAGUCGGAGUCGCUAGUAAUCGCAGAUCAGCAACGCUGCGGUGAAUAAGUUCCCGGGCCU
RNAcentral lists this ribosomal RNA (1344 nucleotides) under uncultured bacterium. RNAcentral describes it as "bacterial SSU rRNA". It matches the Rfam family "Bacterial small subunit ribosomal RNA", at positions 28 to 1381 of the family's 1533-position model. The record is from RNAcentral.